This 1550-nucleotide ribosomal RNA is filed under the name Klebsiella pneumoniae. RNAcentral's name for it is "bacterial SSU rRNA". It matches the Rfam family "Bacterial small subunit ribosomal RNA". Lineage: Bacteria; Pseudomonadati; Pseudomonadota; Gammaproteobacteria; Enterobacterales; Enterobacteriaceae. The record is from RNAcentral.
AAAUUGAAGAGUUUGAUCAUGGCUCAGAUUGAACGCUGGCGGCAGGCCUAACACAUGCAAGUCGAGCGGUAGCACAGAGAGCUUGCUCUCGGGUGACGAGCGGCGGACGGGUGAGUAAUGUCUGGGAAACUGCCUGAUGGAGGGGGAUAACUACUGGAAACGGUAGCUAAUACCGCAUAAUGUCGCAAGACCAAAGUGGGGGACCUUCGGGCCUCAUGCCAUCAGAUGUGCCCAGAUGGGAUUAGCUAGUAGGUGGGGUAACGGCUCACCUAGGCGACGAUCCCUAGCUGGUCUGAGAGGAUGACCAGCCACACUGGAACUGAGACACGGUCCAGACUCCUACGGGAGGCAGCAGUGGGGAAUAUUGCACAAUGGGCGCAAGCCUGAUGCAGCCAUGCCGCGUGUGUGAAGAAGGCCUUCGGGUUGUAAAGCACUUUCAGCGGGGAGGAAGGCGAUAAGGUUAAUAACCUCAUCGAUUGACGUUACCCGCAGAAGAAGCACCGGCUAACUCCGUGCCAGCAGCCGCGGUAAUACGGAGGGUGCAAGCGUUAAUCGGAAUUACUGGGCGUAAAGCGCACGCAGGCGGUCUGUCAAGUCGGAUGUGAAAUCCCCGGGCUCAACCUGGGAACUGCAUUCGAAACUGGCAGGCUAGAGUCUUGUAGAGGGGGGUAGAAUUCCAGGUGUAGCGGUGAAAUGCGUAGAGAUCUGGAGGAAUACCGGUGGCGAAGGCGGCCCCCUGGACAAAGACUGACGCUCAGGUGCGAAAGCGUGGGGAGCAAACAGGAUUAGAUACCCUGGUAGUCCACGCCGUAAACGAUGUCGAUUUGGAGGUUGUGCCCUUGAGGCGUGGCUUCCGGAGCUAACGCGUUAAAUCGACCGCCUGGGGAGUACGGCCGCAAGGUUAAAACUCAAAUGAAUUGACGGGGGCCCGCACAAGCGGUGGAGCAUGUGGUUUAAUUCGAUGCAACGCGAAGAACCUUACCUGGUCUUGACAUCCACAGAACUUUCCAGAGAUGGAUUGGUGCCUUCGGGAACUGUGAGACAGGUGCUGCAUGGCUGUCGUCAGCUCGUGUUGUGAAAUGUUGGGUUAAGUCCCGCAACGAGCGCAACCCUUAUCCUUUGUUGCCAGCGGUUAGGCCGGGAACUCAAAGGAGACUGCCAGUGAUAAACUGGAGGAAGGUGGGGAUGACGUCAAGUCAUCAUGGCCCUUACGACCAGGGCUACACACGUGCUACAAUGGCAUAUACAAAGAGAAGCGACCUCGCGAGAGCAAGCGGACCUCAUAAAGUAUGUCGUAGUCCGGAUUGGAGUCUGCAACUCGACUCCAUGAAGUCGGAAUCGCUAGUAAUCGUAGAUCAGAAUGCUACGGUGAAUACGUUCCCGGGCCUUGUACACACCGCCCGUCACACCAUGGGAGUGGGUUGCAAAAGAAGUAGGUAGCUUAACCUUCGGGAGGGCGCUUACCACUUUGUGAUUCAUGACUGGGGUGAAGUCGUAACAAGGUAACCGUAGGGGAACCUGCGGUUGGAUCACCUCCUUACCUUAAAGAA